Molecule: long non-coding RNA, 3626 nt
Organism: Carassius gibelio (silver crucian carp)
Lineage: Eukaryota; Metazoa; Chordata; Actinopteri; Cypriniformes; Cyprinidae
Exons: 3
Source: RefSeq, a predicted model, not a curated record
UUAUCAAAAAAAUUUUCAAUUUUGUACUUUGGUUAGCGUUAAAUGGGUAAUUAAGAAAAGAGGUGUGGCCAAACAUACCCCAAAGCCUAUAAAACCUAAACGAAAACUCAAAACUUUAUGAAACGUGGUGAGAACAUGUAACAGGUAACUCUUAACAAGCAUGCAAAGUUUCAUGGAGAUCGCACCAUAGGUGGCGCUAUAACAGUAGAAAAGGUCUCAAAACACAAGAUUUAUAUGGUAAAUGGCCUCAAAUUGUUUGAAAAUGCUCAUAUAUUCACUCAAAAACACUAGAUCUUCAUAUCAUAUGAUAGAUCUCCUCAUUCUGAACAACUUUGCCUCUGGGACCAAUGUUGUCAAUAAAGCUGUUAAUUAAAUAUUCAAGAUUAUUUCAAAAAGUUACUUUGGCAAACUAGUGAUAGGGUAUAAGCUGAAAAUCAAUAAAACCACUGAAGUACAAUUCUCUAGACUCUGAAGGUCAAUAAUUAUCAAAAACAUGUUGAACAAUUGCAUUUGGACAACUAUAAACCAGUAAUUUUAUAAUAUGUUAUUUGCAUAGUGUACACAAAGGCCUAUUAAUACAAACAGAAAGCCCACAAAUUAUCAAAACUGUGUAAAAUAAUGCAUAAUUUCAUUCUAAACGAGCAUGCCAUAUUUAAGAGAUAUUGGGCAAAAAACACUAAGAGUUAAAAGGAUUAACACAUUGAUGUAUGAGAAAUUGCCAUUUAUAACCACUAGAUGGCAGCGGAAAACCACUAAUGGGCUCAUUCAGCUAACUUAAACUGUACAGUUGAAAGGAUGUAAUGCCUAAACAAUACAAAAAACACUCUUUUCAAACAUUUCAAAUCUCAUUGAGUUAAAGUUUUCCAUUUUGUUCAUUCAGACAUAUCAGUUUUUAAAAUUUUGCCACAUUAUGAUUACAGUGAAACCUGAAAAUGACAUCUAAAAUCUUAAAAACGAGUUUAAUCAUUUAAUUUCAGUGUGUGUGUCUGUCUGUUAGCCUAUUCUCCAUUUUGGAUGUGUUUAACAGCCAUCCAUAUACGUCCAGGUUGGCUCUGACCACCUAAGAUGCCUUAAGUGCUUGAACCCCGUAAAUGCUGCUUGCAGCUUUAAUUAGGGGUUCAAGCACGCAGUGCUGAAACCCUAUUGUAUUUGUUAGGAUUUUUAUUAUUAUUAUUAUUAUUAUUAGGGGUUCAAGCACGCAGUGCUGAAACCCUAUUGUAAUUGUUAGGAUUUUUAUUAUUAUUAUUAUUAUUAUUAUUAUUAUUAUUCUUCCGCCCUAGAACUGAACGUGCAGCCCAAACCGUAAGGCCUAGAGAGCUGAAAUUUGGACAGAUCGUAGAGCUCAUUUUGGGGAGAACUUAUCAAAGUCUCAGCCCAAUCGGCCAAACGGGGGCGCUAUAGCGCAAAAAACAAAAAUUUUGGACGUUUUUGGCCGUGAAUCGUAAACCGUUAGCCAUAAACUCAAAAACAUGGCAUCAUAGCAAUCCUUGGGUUAGCCCGAACAAAAGUGCACGGCGCCUUUUUGGGGUCUACGACGCACCGUUUUCUCGCAAAAUCGAGCUAUAUCCGAAACCUACUUUUGCGAACUAGUCCUAGGAUUUUCAACCAAUCAGAACCAAACCACUUCAUAAAUAUUCCCUGGACACUCAAUAUCAAUAAUUAUCAAAAAAAAAGUUGAAAUUUCAAUUCUUACGCGAAACAGUACACCAAAAAGCGUCUAUGCUAACGUUAGCCAAAUACUAUUUUGACUAUAACUCUUGAACGGAAUGAGAUAUCUUCACCAAAAUUGGUACACAUAUGUAUGAGCUCAAUCUUUGGUCAAAUAAAAAAAAUUGCAUAUCUCUGCCACUUGGGGGCGCUAUAAGAUUUAAAAAACACAUAAAUGGCUAUAACCAGGCAACCGUUGGCUCGAUCGACUUGAAAAUUGGUAUGCAGUGUCUUGGUCUGAAGGGGCACAAGUACCUAUGAGGACAUUUGCAUAUCUCAAAAAACAUGGCCGCCAUUGGCCAAACAAAUUUAAGCACCUAUUUGAAAGGGUUAACGGAUGUUCAUCGGAACGAAACUCGCUGGGUACGUUCGACUCAUGAACCUUAAGGUCUGUAAGAAUUUUGAAAGAAAUCGGCCACUAGUUGGCGCUAACGAGUUUUAUGGCUCUGUAAUCACGUGGUGUUUCACAUAUCAACACAAUAUGCAUAUCAUUUGAUAGAUCUCCUCAUAAUGCACAACUUAGCCUCAAGAACCAUUGCUGUCAAUCAAAUCGUUCAAUUGUUAUUCACAAAUAUGUUAAAAACCUACUUUUGCGAACUAGUCCUAGGUUUUUUGUCCGAUCGGAACCAAACCACUGCAGUAAUAAUCUGUGGACUCUCUAGAUCAAUAAUUAUCAAAAAAAUGUUACAUUUUGUACUUUGGUUAGCGUUAAAGGGGUAAUUAAGAAAAGGGGUGUGGCCAAACAUACCCCAAAGCCUAUAAAACCUAAACAAAAACUCUAAACUUUAUGAAACUAGGGAAAAACAUGUAACAGGUGACUCUUAACAAGCAUGCAAAGUUUCAUGGAGAUCGGACCAUAGGUGGCGCUAUAACAGUAGAAAAGGUCUCAAAACACAAGAUUUAUAUGGUAAAAGGCCUCAAAGUGUUUGAAAAUGUUCAUAUAUUCACUCAAAAACACUAGAUCUUCAUAUCAUAUGAUAAAUCUCCUCAUUCUGAACAACUUUGCCUCUGGGACCAAUGUUGUCAAUAAAGCUGUUAAUUAAAUAUUCAAGAUUAUUUAAAAAAGUUACUUUGGCAUACUUGUGAUACGGUUUAAGAUGAAAAUCAAUAAAACCACUGAAGUACAAUUCUCUAGACUCAGAAGGUCAAUAAUUAUCAAAAACAUGUUGAACAAUUGCAUUUGGGCAACUAUAAACCAAUAAUUUUAUAAUAUGUUAUUUGCAUAGUGUACACAAAGGCCUAUUAAUACAAACAGAAAGCCCACAAAUUAUCAAAACUGUGUAAAAUAAUGCAUAAUUUCAUUCUAAACAAGCAUGCAAAAUUUAAGAGAGAUUGGGGAAAAAAAAAUAACAACACUAUAACAGUUAUGUUCAAAACCAGGGUUGUUUGAGUAAAUGCAAUUUAUAACCACUAGAUGGCAGCGGAAGACCACUAAUGGGCUCAUUCAGCUAAGUUGAACAGCACUGUUUUCAUGAAUUCUUGCCAAAACAUUAAUAAAUUAACUGUUAUAACAUUUUAAAUCUUACUGAAUCAAUGUUUUCCAUUUUGUUCAUACAGAUGUAUCAGUUUUUACAAUUUUGCCACAUUAUGAUUACAGUUUAACCUGAAAAUGACAUCUAAACUCUAAAAAAGAGAAGACUUGCAAUAAGUUUGUCACCUAUCACUUAUUUCAAAUACCUAUAUCUGCAACAAAAUGUGUGUCCAUGUAUAUGUGUGUCUUUGUGUGUGUGUGUGUGUGCAUAUGCUUAUAGAGUAUACAUAUAUUAGUCUAAUCAUUUGCUGUCAGUGUGUGUGUCUGUCUGUUAGCCUGUUCUCCAUUUUGGAUGUGUUUAAAUGUCAUCCAAACAUCCAGGUUGGCUCUGACCACCUCAGAGGCCUUAAUGUGCUUGAACCCCGGUAAAUGCUGCUUGCAGCUUUAA